RNAcentral lists this ribosomal RNA (253 nucleotides) under uncultured bacterium. RNAcentral describes it as "partial 16S ribosomal RNA". It matches the Rfam family "Bacterial small subunit ribosomal RNA", at positions 524 to 776 of the family's 1533-position model. The record is from RNAcentral.
UACAGAGGGGGCAAGCGUUGUUCGGAAUUACUGGGCGUAAAGGGCGCGUAGGCGGCCUUCUAAGUCGAACGUGAAAUCCCUCGGCUUAACCGGGGAACUGCGUCUGAUACUGGAUGGCUAGAGGUUGGGAGAGGGAUGCGGAAUUCCAGGUGUAGCGGUGAAAUGCGUAGAUAUCAGGAGGAACACCGGUGGCGAAGGCGGGUCUCUGGGCAGUAACUGACGCUGAGGAACGAAAGCGUGGGGAGCGAACAGG